UACAGAGGGUGCGAGCGUUGUUCGGAAUUAUUGGGCGUAAAGGGCGCGUAGGCGGUGCGGUAAGUCACCUGUGAAAUCUCCUGGCUCAACUGGGAGCUUGCAGGCGAAAACUGGCGAGCUUGAGUACGAAAGAGGAUCGCGGAAUUCCCGGUGUAGAGGUGAAAUUCGUAGAUAUCGGGAGGAACACCGGUGGCGAAGGCGGCGAUCUGGGUCGAUACUGACGCUGAGGUGCGAAAGCGUGGGGAGCAAACAGG
This 254-nucleotide ribosomal RNA is filed under the name uncultured bacterium. RNAcentral's name for it is "partial 16S ribosomal RNA". It matches the Rfam family "Bacterial small subunit ribosomal RNA", at positions 524 to 776 of the family's 1533-position model. The record is from RNAcentral.